RNAcentral lists this ribosomal RNA (467 nucleotides) under uncultured bacterium. RNAcentral describes it as "partial 16S ribosomal RNA". It matches the Rfam family "Bacterial small subunit ribosomal RNA", at positions 28 to 507 of the family's 1533-position model. The record is from RNAcentral.
GACGAACGCUGGCGGCGUGCUUAACACAUGCAAGUCGAACGGAAAGGCCUCUUUCGGGGGGUACUCGAGUGGCGAACGGGUGAGUAACACGUGAGUAACCUGCCCUUUACUUUGGGAUAACUUCAGGAAACUGGGGCUAAUACCGGAUAGGAGCUCCUGCUGCAUGGUGGGGGUUGGAAAGUUUCGGCGGUUGGGGAUGGGCUCGCGGCUUAUCAGCUUGUCGGUGGGGUCGUGGCUUACCAAGGCUUUGACGGGUAGCCGGCCUGAGAGGGUGACCGGCCACAUUGGGACUGAGAUACGGCCCAGACUCCUACGGGAGGCAGCAGUGGGGAAUAUUGCACAAUGGGUGGAAGCCUGAUGCAGCAACGCCGUGUGCGGGAUGACGGCCUUCGGGUUGGAAACCGCUUUCGCUCAUGACGAAGCUUUGUGUGACGGUAGUGGGUAAAGAAGCACCGGCUAACUACGUG